This 455-nucleotide ribosomal RNA is filed under the name uncultured bacterium. RNAcentral describes it as "bacterial SSU rRNA". It matches the Rfam family "Bacterial small subunit ribosomal RNA", at positions 43 to 524 of the family's 1533-position model. The record is from RNAcentral.
CAGGCCUAACACAUGCAAGUCGAACGGGAAGUGGUGUUUCCAGUGGCGAACGGGUGAGUAACACGUGGGUGAUCUGCCCCGCACUUCGGGAUAAGCCUGGGAAACUGGGUCUAAUACCGGAUACGACCCCCUGGUAGGUCAGGGGGUGGAAAGAUUUAUCGGUGUGGGAUGAGCCUGCGGCCUAUCAGCUUGUUGGUGGGGUAAUGGCCUACCAAGGCGUCGACGGGUAGCCGGCCUGAGAGGGUGAUCGGCCACAUUGGGACUGAGACACGGCCCAGACUCCUACGGGAGGCAGCAGUGGGGAAUAUUGCACAAUGGGCGCAAGCCUGAUGCAGCGACGCCGCGUGGGGGAUGACGGCCUUCGGGUUGUAAACUCCUUUCGACAGGGACGAAGCUUUGGUGACGGUACCUGUAGAAGAAGCACCGGCUAACUACGUGCCAGCAGCCGCGGUAAU